CUUGGUCAUUUAGAGGAAGUAAAAGUCGUAACAAGGUUUCCGUAGGUGAACCUGCGGAAGGAUCAUUACAGAGAUCAUGCCCUUCGGGGUAGACCUCCCACCCUUUGUUAUACCAACGAAUGUUGCUUUGGCGAGCCGCCCUAGGCCGUCGGCCUCGGCUGACGCGUGCUCGCCAGAGACCCCAAACUCUGUAUCAGUGUCGUCUGAGUACUAUAUAAUAGUUAAAACUUUCAACAACGGAUCUCUUGGUUCUGGCAUCGAUGAAGAACGCAGCGAAAUGCGAUAAGUAAUGUGAAUUGCAGAAUUCAGUGAAUCAUCGAAUCUUUGAACGCACAUUGCGCCCCGUGGUAUUCCGCGGGGCAUGCCUGUUCGAGCGUCAUUUCAACCAAUCAAGCCUCGGCUUGGUCUUGGGGUUUGCGGUCCCGCAUCUCCUAAACUUGGUGGCGGUGCGAUUAAGCUCUGAGCGUAGUAAUUCUUCUCGCUAUAGGGUCUUGGUCGUUACUUGCCAGUAACCCCCAGUUUUUAUUAGGUUGACCUCGGAUCAGGUAGGGAUACCCGCUGAACUUAAGCAUAUCAAUAAGCGGAGGA
Molecule: ribosomal RNA, 588 nt
Filed under: uncultured Pezizomycotina
Lineage: Eukaryota; Fungi; Ascomycota
Description: eukaryotic LSU rRNA
Rfam family: 5.8S ribosomal RNA (bases 226-379)
Source: RNAcentral